RNAcentral lists this ribosomal RNA (521 nucleotides) under uncultured Pseudomonadota bacterium. Its description in RNAcentral is "bacterial SSU rRNA". It matches the Rfam family "Bacterial small subunit ribosomal RNA", at positions 8 to 522 of the family's 1533-position model. Lineage: Bacteria; Pseudomonadati; Pseudomonadota. The record is from RNAcentral.
AGAGUUUGAUCAUGGCUCAGAGUGAACGCUGGCGGCAUGCCUAACACAUGCAAGUCGAACGGUAACAGGCCCGCAAGGGUGCUGACGAGUGGCGGACGGGUGAGGAAUACAUCGGAAUUUGCCCAGUCGUGGGGGAUAACGUAGGGAAACUUACGCUAAUACCGCAUACGACCGAGAGGUGAAAGCGGGGGAUCCGUAAGGACCUCGCGCGAGUGGAUGAGCCGAUGUCGGAUUAGCUAGUUGGCGGGGUAAAGGCCCACCAAGGCGACGAUCCGUAGCUGGUCUGAGAGGAUGAUCAGCCACACUGGGACUGAGACACGGCCCAGACUCCUACGGGAGGCAGCAGUGGGGAAUAUUGGACAAUGGGGGCAACCCUGAUCCAGCAAUGCCGCGUGUGUGAAGAAGGCCUUCGGGUUGUAAAGCACUUUUAUCGGGAACGAAACAUUGUCGGUGAAUAUCCGGCAAGACUGACGGUACCCGAGGAAUAAGCACCGGCUAACUACGUGCCAGCAGCCGCGGUA